This 460-nucleotide ribosomal RNA is filed under the name uncultured bacterium. Its description in RNAcentral is "partial 16S ribosomal RNA". It matches the Rfam family "Bacterial small subunit ribosomal RNA", at positions 338 to 795 of the family's 1533-position model. The record is from RNAcentral.
CCUACGGGAGACAGCAGUGAGGAAUAUUGGUCAAUGGGCGCGAGCCUGAACCAGCCAAGUCGCGUGAGGGAGGACGGCCCUACGGGUUGUAAACCUCUUUUGCCGGGGAGCAACGGGCGCCACGUGUGGCGUCACUGAGAGUACCCGGAGAAAAAGCAUCGGCUAACUCCGUGCCAGCAGCCGCGGUAAUACGGAGGAUGCGAGGGUUAUCCGGAUUUAUUGGGUUUAAAGGGUGCGUAGGCGGAUCGUUAAGUCAGUGGGCAAGUUGAGGGGCUCAACCCUUUCCCGCCAUUGAAACUGGCGUUCUUGAGUGGAAGAGAAGUAUGCGGAAUGCGUGGUGUAGCGGUGAAAUGCAUAGAUAUCACGAAGAACCCCGAUUGCGAAGGCAGCAUGCCGGCUUCCGACUGACGCUGAAGCACGAAAGCGUGGGGAUCGAACAGGAUUAGAUACCCGAGUAGUC